UGGCGGACGGGUGAGUAACGCGUGAGCAACCUGCCUUUCAGAGGGGGAUAACAUUUGGAAACAGAUGCUAAUACCGCAUAAGAUUACAGUACCGCAUGAUACAGUGAUCAAAGGAGCAAUCCGCUGAAAGAUGGGCUCGCGUCCGAUUAGAUAGUUGGUGAGGUAACGGCUCACCAAGUCGACGAUCGGUAGCCGGACUGAGAGGUUGAACGGCCACAUUGGGACUGAGACACGGCCCAGACUCCUACGGGAGGCAGCAGUGGGGAAUAUUGCACAAUGGGCGAAAGCCUGAUGCAGCAACGCCGCGUGAGGGAAGACGGUUUUCGGAUUGUAAACCUCUGUUUUCGGUGACGAACAAAUGACGGUAACCGAGUAGGAAGCCACGGCUAACUACGUGCCAGCAGCCGCGGUAAUACGUAGGUGGCAAGCGUUAUCCGGAAUUACUGGGUGUAAAGGGAGCGCAGGCGGGAUAGCAAGUCAGCUGUGAAAACUAUGGGCUCAACCCAUAA
RNAcentral lists this ribosomal RNA (509 nucleotides) under uncultured bacterium. RNAcentral's name for it is "bacterial SSU rRNA". It matches the Rfam family "Bacterial small subunit ribosomal RNA", at positions 96 to 619 of the family's 1533-position model. The record is from RNAcentral.